CCUACGGGUGGCUGCAGUGGGGAAUAUUGCACAAUGGGGGAAACCCUGAUGCAGCGACGCCGCGUGAGUGAAGAAGUAUUUCGGUAUGUAAAGCUCUAUCAGCAGGGACGAUAAUGACGGUACCUGACUAAGAAGCCCCGGCUAACUACGUGCCAGCAGCCGCGGUAAUACGUAGGGGGCAAGCGUUAUCCGGAUUUACUGGGUGUAAAGGGAGCGUAGGUGGUUUAAUAAGUCAGAUGUGAAAGCCCGGGGCUCAACUCCGGGACUGCAUUUGAAACUAUUAGACUAGAGUGCAGGAGAGGUAAGUGGAAUUCCUAGUGUAGCGGUGAAAUGCGUAGAUAUUAGGAGGAACACCAGUGGCGAAGGCGGCUUACUGGACUGUAACUGACACUGAGGCUCGAAAGCGUGGGGAGCAAACAGGAUUAGAUACCCUAGUAGUC
Molecule: ribosomal RNA, 440 nt
Filed under: uncultured bacterium
Lineage: Bacteria
Description: bacterial SSU rRNA
Rfam family: Bacterial small subunit ribosomal RNA
Source: RNAcentral